This is a non-coding RNA of Erythranthe guttata (spotted monkey flower), 3614 nucleotides long. The record is from RefSeq and is a predicted model, not a curated record. NCBI's taxonomy places the organism in Eukaryota, Viridiplantae, Streptophyta, Magnoliopsida, Lamiales, Phrymaceae.
UUUAUUUACUUCCCAAAAACGACGUCGUUGAUAACAUCUCUGCGAGCAAAUUAUCUUGGCGACUACCGAGUUUAGAAAAGUUUCAGCGCAUCUCCCCAACCUGCAAUCUCAACUCAGAGAGCCAAAACAAACCCUAGAAAAAUGUCGGGCGGAUUUUUCCGGGGCACGUCCGCCGAUCAAGACACUCGAUUCUCGAACAAGCAAGCGAAGUUACUCAAGUCUAAGAAAUUCGCCCCUGAAUUGGAUAACCUGGUGGACAUGACGAAAGUGAAGAUGGAUGUUAUGAGGCCUUGGAUUGCAAAGCGUGUAACGGAGCUAAUUGGAUUUGAAGACGAAGUGCUUCUAAAUUUUAUUGAUGGUCUUUUGGAGGGGAAGGAAGUUAAUGGGAAGGAGAUCCAGAUUUCACUUACUGGAUUUAUGGAGAGAAAUACGGGGAAGUUCAUGAAAGAGCUCUGGGUGCUGCUUCUGAGUGCGCAGCAAAAUGUGAGUGGUGUCCCCCAACAGUUUCUGGAUGCCAAAGAAGAGGAAACCAAGAAAAAGCAGGCAGAGACAGAUCGCAUAGCUGGUGAAAUUCAAAGGCAAAAAGAGAAGGAGAAGCAAGAAAUUGAGCUAGAGAAAGCAAAGAUGGACCGCGAUCGUGCAAUGUCAAGAGAUAAGCAUAUUGAUCUGGAGCCUAAUGUGAAACAUGGUGCUGGGGUGUCUAGCAUCCAGCCAGCCCAAGGGAAAGAACUGCACAUGAGAAAUGGCCGGGGUCAACGCAGCAGCAGGGGUUCACAGUCUCCAGAUUCCCCUCAUGAUUCACCAUCGCUGAGUGAAAGGCGAAGGUCAAGAAGCACCUCCAAAGCACCACCAUCUAGAAGUCGCUCCGUUUCCUCAGAAAGACGUCUCUCUUCACCAAGACGCUCCGUCUCGCCUCGUCGGAGGCAUAUUGUUCGCCGUUCUCCUUCGCCAUGGCGCAGAUCAUCGCAUUUGAGGCGAAGAUCACCUUCCCCUUCACGUUACAGGGUUCGUUCUCCACGGCGUUACAGGUCGCGAUCUCCCAUGCGCCGUCGAUCACGGUCCCCUGUGCGGCGUAGGUCGAGGACACCAUUACGGAGAUCACGAUCCCCUGCGCGGCGUAGGUCGAGGACACCAUUACGGAGAUCACGAUCCCCUGUGCGUGCUAUACGGCGUAGAUCACCCUCUCCUAUUAGAGGAAGAUCUCCAUCUCCAUUGCGAGGCCGUUCACCAUCUCCACGUCGCCGGUCACCAUCUCCUCGUCGACGGUCACCAUCUCCUGCAAGAAGGCGGAACCGACGUUCUCCUUCAACUCCGCGGAAGCAGUCUGCAUCUCCAAUUCGACGUAGGUCCUCUUUGCAUGGUCGGAAAAAAUCAAAAACCCCUGUCCUUCAAAGAUCUCCUUCUCACGGAUCAAGUUCCCCCUCACACAUUCAUCGGAGUUCCCUUUCACCAGUCAGGAGGGGAUCGAAGAGUGUGAGAUCACCUGUACAAUCUUCUGGGGAAAGAGUCAGACGGUAUGAGAAGUAUUCUCCUGCUCGUCGUGCUUCUCCCGAUGAAAGAAGCGAACUCCCUGUCAAGAACCGUAAAGGAAGAAGAUCUGUGGAGCGUGGGCCCAUUGUUUCUCUGAGAUCACCACAGAGGGAUAUGCUGGAUCGAAAUGAUUUAAAUGGAAAAGGGGGGGAAUCGCCACCUAUACAGAAGUCUCCAUCCGUGUCAGAUUCUUCCAGGGGCCGAAGACAUAGUGAUGAACAAAGGUCAACUAGUCCUCGUGGUAGUCCAUAUGGAAGGAGGGAAAAUAUGUCUCGUCCUGAGAGCCCAAUUCCAUUGCGAAGAGGUGCUGGGCAGAAACCUAAUCGUGAUAGUUAUGGGACAAGUCCAGAUGACAAGAAUGUCUCUAGCAGGGAGAUCAAAGAAUACAAUAAAUCCUCAACUGCCCGUCAUAAGGAUUUACAUGACUCAGCUGAAAUCCGUGGUCUCACCGACGAUACAAGGGCAAGGAAAGCCAAUCUGCCUAACAGGCUACUUGACGGAGUCGAUCAUAAAGAACAUGAACGACAAGAAUUGUCUUCAAGUACCAGAACUGCUAGUUUGAGUGUGAAAAGAAAGGAGUCGUAUGAUGUUGAUGGUGCUGAGGUGAAGGAUAAGAAAAUAGCUCGGCCAGAUGAUAGUAAGGCUGGUUAUAGGUUUCCAGAACUGGCAGAUGAUCGGAAUGGUUCAUUGGAUUCUUCCUCCAAGGAAACUGGUGAGCAUGGAGUUAAAACAAAAGAAAAGAGGAAGCACAAGAAAUCUGGCCGACAAGAGGUGGAAUCAGAUGAUUAUUCUAGCAAUGAUUCCUAUGGGGACAAGAAGGAUUCCAAACGAAGGAGAAAAGAAGAGAAGAAAUUGAAAAAGGAGGAGAAACGUCGACGGCGUGGGGAGAGACACCGCAGAAGAGACGAACGUCAUGCUGAAAAGCUAAAAUUGAAGUCAGGUGAUGCAGGUAGUUUGUCGCCAGAUCUGGCGCAAGAUCAAUCUGAAGAUGAGAGUGUUAGACGAGACUCACGGGCAAACAACAUUCAGGAGACUGAGUUUGAGCAGAAAAAGCUCGAGAUAGAGCUUCGCGAGAAGGCCCUUGAGUCUCUCCGAGCCAAAAAGGGAUUUGGCAAUUGAUCUUUCGACAACUGUUAUUUAUGAUUAUGUUCUCGUUAUCAGUUUUUUUUAUUGUUUCUAGACUUUGCGUAGUUUUGGAUGAAUGUACUCCUGAUAUCUGCUUAAUUUGAUCUAUCUUUACUGGUGGCAGCUGAAAUGGAUAAAUGACGAUUUCCUGAGCUUAUGUUGAGUGAAACUUUAUGCUGACUUUCCUGCUAAGUUUUCUGAUAUGAAUAUUAGCACCUAGAUGACUUGGUUGAGCAAAUCUUUCGCAGCUCCUUAAUCUCGAUUCUCGACUGAUCAAACAGCUUGAGAGUUGUUCCAACUAAUACGCACCUGAAGGUGAUAUAACUGCUGCAACGGUGACAUUUGAAUUGCGUUGAUCAAAUAUGCUGUAGUUUGUACAUUGAUUUUUUUUUGAAUCUAUGUUUACUGUUGCUUUGUCACCUUCACCUCAAGUUAGGCACCUAGAUUCUGCCUUUAUGUUUGAGCUAAUACAGGUGUUGUGUUCCCCCUUUAGUGUCACCACAUGUUUCGGUUUGUAUCCGACUCUAGAGUACUUUUGACAACCGUUGACUUGUCUUAAACCAUCUCAACGACGCGCAUACGUUGGCUAUACUUCAUUAUCCUGCAUGUUGUGUACGGAAACUUUCAUUUACCUGAGUGGCCGUGUCAGUAAUGUAGAUCUCCGACGUCUGGUUUAAUCAUAUGAAGUGCAAUGAAUUGUAAAAUAGGGACUGUUUGCAGGGAAUCGCAUCACAUCUAUUGUUCUUGGUGCUUUAGAGUGUAGAUAAGAUAAACUCCUCAGGAAGUAUGAAACGUAACGAUGAAAUGGUGUUGGUACGUGCCAGAAAGUAUGUUUACUGUGUCGACUUAUCUUCAGUUGAUUGGUAUUGAAUGUGUUUUCAGAUUUCGUGUGUGAAUGAGAUCGAAUUCUAGGCUGUAGAUAUGUUGUUUGCAAUUAUAUUGGAUGUGUUAAUAGGUUU